CAAGAGAAAUUAUUCCCAAGAAGAAAAAUCCCAGUUCGGAUCCACAUGUGGAUUCCAGAUCCCAGGAUCCACUCUGUGCUGUAAUAUGGCUGUGAUAUCAGCUGGGAAACGUGAUGUCAACUGCAACAAAGAGUAAACCCAAGAGCAGAGAAGGAAGUUUCCAUGGCGUCUGUACUGAGUGAGCAGCUGAGGAGACAAAUGGCUUUCCCAACUCCUGUUUCUGUUCACAGCCCUGCCAGCUGUCACCACAGCAAUUUCCAUGCCAACAUCUCAGUAAAGCACCAGCAUUUCCAGCAAAAAAAGGGUUUUGCUGGGAUUUUAGUCUCACCGCACUGCAAGGAAAUCAGAGGAGCCUGCAACGUCAUCAUGUGGGCAUAAAAAAGGCCUGGAACCCAGGGCAGGAUCAUCCAUUCCACAAUGGUGGGAGGUGGUCCCUGCAUGUGAAGGUCAGUCCUGACGAUGUGCUGCGACGCCAGCAGGAGCAUGAAGAGGAAGGUUAGGUGGAACUGCCCCAUUUUCAAGCCAUCUCCAUUCUAUAAGCUAGCACCUCACCUGGACCAGUGUAAUAAACUAGGAGUCCAGAGAGAAGCCUUCAGAAGGAAAGGAUUUUGUAAAUAUGCAUUUAAAUGGCCUGUGGCAACUUGUUCCAGACAGAGCACUUUCUCCUCUAAGCCACUCUCCCUUUCUGAUGCGAGAGGAGGAAGUAACAUGAGGCACUUGAGGAUGAAAUGAAGAAAGAGCACAAUCAGUGUGGAGUUGGUUCUCCAAGUCACAGAGGGGUGCUGUUAAAGACCUGGUUUGUGUUUGAACCUCUUCUAUUUAAAUGAAGUGCAAUCUCGAGGUCUGCUUUGCCUUGAAUUCCUGCGUCUUGCUCCAGCUAAGAACUACUGAACCCAGCCGGAAGAGGGACUGCCGAGUGCCUACCGUUGCCUAGAGAAGCAAGACCAGUGUUGUGCCAUGAGCAAUUGCACCCUCUCCUGGUUAUGACUCUGCAAGAGCAGUUGAGAAGUUCAUUGUUAGCGACAACUUACAUGUUCCGUUGUAUUAUCUCUAUGAUAUGCCCAACCAUCAAACGAAUCUUAGUUUUUAUAUGCUUAUGUAGCCUGGGGCUAGCUUCACUCCUCCAGUAAAACAAACAAGGGACAGAAGUUUGGGGCUGUUACAAAUCCAGGCAUUACAUGGUGUUAGUGACAUCAGAACCUGGCUCGCAGCAUGUUAUGGAUCUACCAGAGCCUUGUACAGAGAUUCCCUGGCUGCUUGCUGGACCCCCUGAUACCAUCCCAGGUGUAAGUCCAGUAUGGCUGACAUGAGAGUAAAUCUAGCUGUCUUGUGCAGCUUGGACAGGCAGACUAGUUUACACAUGCCUGAAGCUGGGUUGGGUUUAUUUUGCUCCCUCAUUUGGCAAUACAAAAUGCUGUUUGUUCAUUUUUUUCACCUUCAGGUCAGUUUAAGAGUUACUGUGUGAUAGGAGCAGCUGCUUUGAGUAAAAAUAAAAACUACAUCCUAAACAUUUUUAAUGUUUUUAAGUUUGGAAAUGAAUUUUAAGAGCUUACCUAGUCUAGUCCAUAACUACAUUUAAGGCCUUGGAAGUCAUCCAGGUUUUUAGUUUUAUCUGGCCUCUAUUUUCUCUUCUUAAUGGUAACAAGGACAAGAUGUGCUAAUACAGGCCAAUAAUCAUGCUAUCUAUAGCCUUCUAUGUCAUCUUUGUACAUAAAAUGUGCCUAUUUCCUGUAAUUUAUUACCGUGUAUGGAUGAGAGAUGUUUCAUUAAGUUUAGGUGAGGUAAUAUGUUGCUAAAAGGGCUUGAAAAGGGAAGGCUUUUUGCUUAGGAGAAGUGGGGUUGUGUUCCUAUUCAAUCACAUGCCUUUAAAAAAAGAAAGAGAUUAAAUCAUAAGACAUCAUCACAAGGAGGAGCGAGUGGCUGCAUCUGGUGCCAGCCCAGCGCUGUUUGAUGCUGCACAAGCACAUCUUGAUGCUCACAAACCAGGAGGCUGCGUUUCUCCUCUUUCUGACUAUUGAGCUGUGCUUUUGGCAUUCUGAUACUAACCAAGAAGACACCGUGGCUUCCGAAAAGAUCCCUGAAUUUGUGAUAGCAAAGAAAUGACAAUCUAGACAGAUGGCAGGGUCUCGCAUGAGAACAAAAUCUGCGUGGUUGUGAUCUUCCUUUAUUGUUACCACUCAGGCAGUGACUGUUUCUUAUUUCUGAUGCUAACACACCCCCACUGCAACCAAAAGACUGUCCAUCACAGGGAUAAACAAGCCAUAAAGGUUCCAUUCUGUUUUGCAAACCCAAGCACAGCUCUAUUCAACAGCCAGAUAAGGACUAGGGGACUUCUACUAAACUAUCCUGCAAUUCUUUAUGGAUCUCAGAGCUUUGUUUUGGAGGAUCCUGUAACGCCCAUUUAAUUUCCCUAUGUAAAGAAGCUUCCCUUGGAAAAAGGGUUGCAACGAUUGCACCAGGCAGAUUCUCCUGCAUAUUUGUAUUAGUGAAUCUAGACAGCCAUGUCAAAAGCCCCUCAAGGGUUUCAGAAGUUGUACAGACCAGAGGCAAAACCAUGUGUUCUGUGAUGUAAGGGAGCAGCUAGUGCUGAAAUAAGGGCUCAUGAGCAAAGGGUGGUGAAUAAACUCGGCACAUGCAUGGAUGCUGCAUAGGUAAUGAAAUAUGGUUUUCCGAAACUUAAAACC
Neopsephotus bourkii (Bourke's parrot) is the source of this 2684-nucleotide long non-coding RNA. RefSeq lists it as uncharacterized. The transcript has 6 exons. The record is from RefSeq and is a predicted model, not a curated record. NCBI's taxonomy places the organism in Eukaryota, Metazoa, Chordata, Aves, Psittaciformes, Psittacidae.